CUUUAACGGCCGCAGUACNCUGACUGUGCUAAGGUAGCAUAAUAAUUUGUCUUUUAAUUGAAGACUGGAAUGAAAGGCUUAAUGGGAGAUAGCUGUCUUAGAUAAUUAACAAAAAAAUUUCUAAGAAGGUGAAAAUUCCUUCAACUUAUUAAAUAAGACGAGAAGACCCUUAGAAUUAUGAUUAAAAGUCUAAUAGACGUGAAAUUUUUGUUGGGGCAACAGAGUCAGAGUCUUAAACUGAUUUUGAUAUAAGUUAAUUAGUUAAAAAAUAAUUAAAAAGAAUUUAAUUACCUGAGGGAUAACAGCAUUAUUCAAAUAUGAGAAUAUGACCUCGAUGUUGGACUAGGGACUUUUUUGGUUAGAAAUUAAGGAAGGUAGUUCUGUUCGAACUUUUUAAACCCUACGUGAUCUGAGUUCA
This 418-nucleotide ribosomal RNA is filed under the name Mastus rossmaessleri. RNAcentral describes it as "partial 16S ribosomal RNA". It matches the Rfam family "Bacterial large subunit ribosomal RNA", at positions 1922 to 2613 of the family's 2925-position model. Lineage: Eukaryota; Metazoa; Mollusca; Gastropoda; Stylommatophora; Enidae. The record is from RNAcentral.